Molecule: unclassified non-coding RNA, 1660 nt
Filed under: Aphidius gifuensis
Lineage: Eukaryota; Metazoa; Arthropoda; Insecta; Hymenoptera; Braconidae
Description: serine/threonine-protein kinase STK11, transcript variant X1
Source: RNAcentral
AAACACACAUUAGUUGAUAAAUAAAAAUAAAAAAAAAAAAAUCACACGAGAGAGUGUACACUCCUAUCCACUCCCAUCAUCAUCAUCAUCAUCAUUUUCAUCAUCUUUACAACCUCCUGUCCUACCUCCUAGUGCGAUACCUCAGUAAAAAAUGGUUGUGCCGGUGAUAAUUUUUUUUUAGGUUAAAUAAUUGUGUAAAUAAUAUUUUGUUAAUGUUAACUAGUUGCUCAUUGCUCUAGUCAGUAUAUUAAAUAAAUAAAUAAAUAAUUAAAAUGGACAAUAGAAUAAUGAUAUGUGAUCCAGAUGAAGAAGACAGAAACAAUGGUAUAUUUGAUGAUAUUGAACCAGAUCAAUGGCUAAAUGAUAAUCAAGAUUAUGAUUUAGAUAUCAAUACAUUUUUUCAUCGGGUGGAAUCUGAUCAAAUAAUAUAUGAAGAAAAGAGAAAAAAAUUCAAAUUAAUUGGUAAAUAUGUUAUGGGUGAUUUACUUGGUGAAGGAAGUUAUGGCAAAGUCAAAGAAGUACUUGACUCGGAAACAUUAUAUCGUAGAGCUGUCAAAAUAUUAAAAAAAAAAAAAUUACGUAGGAUACCAAAUGGUGAACAAAAUGUACAAAAUGAAAUUAGAUUACACAAAAAUCUUAAACAUCGAAAUGUCAUUGAGCUUGUUGAUGUAUUUUACAAUGAAGAAAAAGAAAAAAUGUAUCUUGUUAUGGAAUUUUGUAGUGCUGGUCUUCAGGACAUGUUGGAAAGUACACCAAAUAAAAAAUUUCCAAUUUGGCAAGCACAUGAAUAUUUUACACAAUUAAUUGAAGGUCUUGAGUAUCUUCAUAGUAAAGGUAUUAUUCAUAAAGAUAUUAAACCAGGAAAUUUACUAUUAACACUUGGUGGUACAUUAAAAAUAAGUGAUUUUGGUGUUGCUGAGGCCUUGGAUCAUUUUGCUGUUGAUGACACAUGUACAAUGGGACAGGGAUCGCCAGCAUUUCAACCACCAGAAAUAGCUAAUGGUUGUGAAACAUUUGCUGGUUUUAAAGUUGACAUUUGGAGUAGUGGAGUUACCUUAUAUAAUAUUACAACUGGAUUGUAUCCAUUUGAAGGUGAUAGUAUUUAUAAGUUGUAUGAAAAUAUUGGAAGAGGUGAUUAUACUAUACCUGAUAGUGUUGAUGAAUCAUUGUCAUCAUUACUUAGAGGAAUGCUACAAAAAGAACCAAAUGAUAGAUUUACAUUACAAGAAGUACGACAUCAUUCAUGGACAAUUUGUCUUCCAGAAAGAACAAAUGAUAAAGUUGCAAUUCCACCAUUGAAAGGUAGUACUUGUCAUCGAAUGACUGUGCUUCCUUAUUUACUUGAAUUUUAUUAUGGAUGUGAUAAUGAUCCAACGUAUUACACUGAAAGACAGCUAAAUGAUGAAAAAAAAAAUAAGAAAUCUAGUCGGUCAUUAUCAAACCGUCUACUUGUAUUCUUGUCAAAACCAUGCAUCAUACUGUAAUUAUUUAAAAUAGCCACUAUUGUGUAUUAUUUUUUAUUUCAAGGAUUCGAAAAACAUCUGGAAUUAAGGCUACAAGAUUUGGACUUGAAUGGUCUUGAACAAAUAAGCACAUCGAGUAAUGGUAACACAACAAAAACACUUCGUACAAAACCACGUUGGAGAAAACCAGUAUCACG